GAUGAACGCUGGCGGCGUGCCUAAUACAUGCAAGUCGAGCGAACGGACGAGAAGCUUGCUUUUCUGAUGUUAGCGGCGGACGGGUGAGUAACACGUGGAUAACCUACCUAUAAGACUGGGAUAACUUCGGGAAACCGGAGCUAAUACCGGAUAAUAUUUUGAACCGCAUGGUUCAAAAGUGAAAGACGGUCUUGCUGUCACUUAUAGAUGGAUCCGCGCUGCAUUAGCUAGUUGGUAAGGUAACGGCUUACCAAGGCAACGAUGCAUAGCCGACCUGAGAGGGUGAUCGGCCACACUGGAACUGAGACACGGUCCAGACUCCUACGGGAGGCAGCAGUAGGGAAUCUUCCGCAAUGGGCGAAAGCCUGACGGAGCAACGCCGCGUGAGUGAUGAAGGUAUUCGGAUCGUAAAACUCUGUUAUUAGGGAAGAACAUAUGUGUAAGUAACUGUGCACAUCUUGACGGUACCUAAUCAGAAAGCCACGGCUAACUACGUG
RNAcentral lists this ribosomal RNA (497 nucleotides) under uncultured bacterium. Its description in RNAcentral is "partial 16S ribosomal RNA". It matches the Rfam family "Bacterial small subunit ribosomal RNA", at positions 28 to 507 of the family's 1533-position model. The record is from RNAcentral.